This 1426-nucleotide ribosomal RNA is filed under the name human oral metagenome. RNAcentral describes it as "bacterial SSU rRNA". It matches the Rfam family "Bacterial small subunit ribosomal RNA". The record is from RNAcentral.
AGAGUUUGAUCCUGGCUCAGGAUGAACGCUGGCGGCGUGCCUAACACAUGCAAGUCGAGCGAGGGUUUGCUCAGUAUUGAGUAUUCUAAGUCUAGAAUGUUCAAUUCUGAGCAAAACCAAGCGGCGGACGGGUGAGUAACGCGUGGGUAACCUGCCCUAUACACAUGGAUAACAUACUGAAAAGUUUACUAAUACAUGAUAAUAUAUAUUUGCGGCAUCGCAGAUAUAUCAAAGUGUUAGCGGUAUAGGAUGGACCCGCGUCUGAUUAGCUAGUUGGUGAGAUAACUGCCCACCAAGGCGACGAUCAGUAGCCGACCUGAGAGGGUGAUCGGCCACAUUGGAACUGAGACACGGUCCAAACUCCUACGGGAGGCAGCAGUGGGGAAUAUUGCACAAUGGGCCCCGGCUAACUACGUGCCAGCAGCCGCGGUAAUACGUAGGGGGCUAGCGUUAUCCGGAUUUACUGGGCGUAAAGGGUGCGUAGGUGGUCCUUCAAGUCGGUGGUUAAAGGCUACGGCUCAACCGUAGUAAGCCGCCGAAACUGGAGGACUUGAGUGCAGGAGAGGAAAGUGGAAUUCCCAGUGUAGCGGUGAAAUGCGUAGAUAUUGGGAGGAACACCAGUAGCGAAGGCGGCUUUCUGGACUGCAACUGACACUGAGGCACGAAAGCGUGGGUAGCAAACAGGAUUAGAUACCCUGGUAGUCCACGCUGUAAACGAUGAGUACUAGGUGUCGGGGGUUACCCCCCUCGGUGCCGCAGCUAACGCAUUAAGUACUCCGCCUGGGGAGUACGCACGCAAGUGUGAAACUCAAAGGAAUUGACGGGGACCCGCACAAGUAGCGGAGCAUGUGGUUUAAUUCGAAGCAACGCGAAGAACCUUACCUAAGCUUGACAUCCCUCGGACAGGUGUUUAAUCACACCCUUCCUUCGGGACUGAGGUGACAGGUGGUGCAUGGUUGUCGUCAGCUCGUGUCGUGAGAUGUUGGGUUAAGUCCCGCAACGAGCGCAACCCUUGUCUUUAGUUGCCAGCAUUCAGUUGGGCACUCUAGAGAGACUGCCAGGGAUAACCUGGAGGAAGGUGGGGAUGACGUCAAAUCAUCAUGCCCCUUAUGCUUAGGGCUACACACGUGCUACAAUGGGUGGUACAGAGGGUUGCCAAACCGUGAGGUGGAGCCAAUCCCUUAAAGCCAUUCUCAGUUCGGAUUGUAGGCUGAAACUCGCCUACAUGAAGCUGGAGUUACUAGUAAUCGCAGAUCAGAAUGCUGCGGUGAAUGCGUUCCCGGGUCUUGUACACACCGCCCGUCACACCACGGGAGUCGGAAACACCCGAAGCCGAUUAUCCAACCGCAAGGAGGAAGUCGUCGAAGGUGGCGUCGAUAACUGGGGUGAAGUCGUAACAAGGUAGCCGUAUCGGAAGGUGCGGCUG